Long non-coding RNA from Dermacentor silvarum, 309 nucleotides. RefSeq lists it as uncharacterized. The transcript is spliced from 3 exons. Lineage: Eukaryota; Metazoa; Arthropoda; Arachnida; Ixodida; Ixodidae. The record is from RefSeq and is a predicted model, not a curated record.
GCGGUGUGUACGGCAUUUCGCACAUCAGCAGACCUCUCGAGAGUAUUUUUCAGUCCAAAGGUGCUCCGUGAACCACUAAAAUUGUGUUUUCUUGAUAACGGGAGGGACUUAUGCUACUGUGCCCAAGAUGAAGCCAACCUAUAUUGGUCUUUUAUUCCUCACUUGUGUGUAUGCUGCUUCCGGAGAAGGGUUGCAAGUGGAAGAGCAGGAAGGUAAUUUUAUAUUUAAAGCCAAUUUUCCGUCAUAUCCAGUGCUGUUUGAACAAACAAGAUGAAAAACGCAAUAUCCAGUUUUUUGUAUUUAGUUUUU